UAGGGAGACCUAAUCCAUUUAGAAAUCGAAAACAAUGAAAAUUGUCAAUAGAAACUAAAUUGGUCUAACCUAGGUCGUUCGAGAUUGGUAGACAUCUUUCAAAGUAUUAUUCGGCUUCGUUCAAAACCAUAUAUAAUAAAUGGAAAAAGACAGCACCUAAUUGUCAAAGUUAGACUGCUGGAUGAAGUUCCAGCCAGAACCUUGAAAACUGCAUAAGAGAACAAGAAAAAGCAGGCAGACACAGACAUUUAGAUGGAUGUGGAAGCAAAAGAAAUUGU
This 278-nucleotide unclassified non-coding RNA is filed under the name uncultured Anabaena sp. RNAcentral's name for it is "partial 16S-23S ribosomal RNA intergenic spacer". The record is from RNAcentral. Lineage: Bacteria; Bacillati; Cyanobacteriota; Cyanophyceae; Nostocales; Nostocaceae.